CAAAUUAGAGCUUGAAUAAGUAUUUUAUUUACAUUAAAAAGAUAAUCUUUGAUUUAAUUUGAAUU
Molecule: transfer RNA, 65 nt
Filed under: Thaneroclerus buquet
Lineage: Eukaryota; Metazoa; Arthropoda; Insecta; Coleoptera; Thanerocleridae
Description: tRNA-Val
Source: RNAcentral